Molecule: ribosomal RNA, 108 nt
Filed under: Lepisosteus oculatus (spotted gar)
Lineage: Eukaryota; Metazoa; Chordata; Actinopteri; Semionotiformes; Lepisosteidae
Source: RNAcentral
GCCAGCAGCCAUAUCAAUCUGCAACUCACCACUGAAACUAAGCAGGUGUGAGCCUGGUCAGUACCUGGAUGGGAGACUUCCUGGGAAAAACUAAGGUUGCUGCUGGAA